RNAcentral lists this ribosomal RNA (186 nucleotides) under uncultured bacterium. RNAcentral describes it as "partial 16S ribosomal RNA". It matches the Rfam family "Bacterial small subunit ribosomal RNA", at positions 1314 to 1500 of the family's 1533-position model. The record is from RNAcentral.
GCCUUCAUGGAGCUGGAAUUGCUAGUAAUGGCAGGUCAGCAUACUGCCGUGAAUACGUUCCCGGGCCUUGUACACACCGCCCGUCACACCAUGAGAGUUGGAAAUACCCGAAGCCUGUGAGCUAACUUAAAGAGGCAGCAGUCGAAGGUAGAGCCAAUGAUUGGGGUGAAGUCGUAACAAGGUAUC